This is a long non-coding RNA of Tarenaya hassleriana, 213 nucleotides long. RefSeq lists it as uncharacterized. NCBI's taxonomy places the organism in Eukaryota, Viridiplantae, Streptophyta, Magnoliopsida, Brassicales, Cleomaceae. The transcript is spliced from 2 exons. The record is from RefSeq and is a predicted model, not a curated record.
CACGGAGACAAACCGAACAAACCACGAAGAGCUUUGAAAGCGCAAGAAUCCGACCGUUGCCUGAGUUUAUCUUCUUGUCCAAAACAGAAACUCCGAAGACUCUGUUUCCUCUCCACACAAAAAUCACAGAGAGAGAGAGAGAGAGAGAGAGAGAGAGAGAGAGAGAGAGAGAGAGAGAUCUUUGUUUCUGUAUUCCCCCAAGCAGUCUGGAAA